GACGAACGCUGGCGGCGUGCUUAACACAUGCAAGUCGAACGGAAAGGCCCUGCUUUUGUGGGGUGCUCGAGUGGCGAACGGGUGAGUAACACGUGAGUAACCUGCCCUUGACUUUGGGAUAACUUCAGGAAACUGGGGCUAAUACCGGAUUGGAGCUCCUGCUGCAUGGUGGGGGUUGGAAAGUUUCGGCGGUUGGGGAUGGACUCGCGGCUUAUCAGCUUGUUGGUGGGGUAGUGGCUUACCAAGGCUUUGACGGGUAGCCGGCCUGAGAGGGUGACCGGCCACAUUGGGACUGAGAUACGGCCCAGACUCCUACGGGAGGCAGCAGUGGGGAAUAUUGCACAAUGGGCGGAAGCCUGAUGCAGCAACGCCGCGUGCGGGAUGACGGCCUUCGGGUUGUAAACCGCUUUCGCCUGUGACGAAGCGUGAGUGACGGUAAUGGGUAAAGAAGCACCGGCUAACUAUGUG
RNAcentral lists this ribosomal RNA (468 nucleotides) under uncultured bacterium. RNAcentral's name for it is "partial 16S ribosomal RNA". It matches the Rfam family "Bacterial small subunit ribosomal RNA", at positions 28 to 507 of the family's 1533-position model. The record is from RNAcentral.